Molecule: ribosomal RNA, 442 nt
Filed under: uncultured bacterium
Lineage: Bacteria
Description: partial 16S ribosomal RNA
Rfam family: Bacterial small subunit ribosomal RNA
Source: RNAcentral
GAUGAACGCUGGCGGCGUGCCUUAUACAUGCAAGUCGAGUGGGUUUAGACCCACGGCAAACGGGUGAGUAACACGUAGGUACUUUCCUUGUCACAGGAAUAACCCUCCGAAAGGAGGGCUAAUACCUGAUGUGAUCGCAAGAUUAAAGGGUAUCCGCAAGGAUUACCGGACAAGAAGAGGCCUGCGGCCUAUCAGCUAGUUGGCGGGGUAAAUGCCCACCAAGGCUAUGACGGGUAGCUGGUCUUAUGUGGAUGAUCAGUCACAUGGGCACUGAGACACGGGCCCAACUCCUACGGGAGGCAGUAGUAGGGAAUUUUGCGCAAUGGGCGAAAGCCUGACGCAGCGACGCCGCGUGCGGGAUGAAGGCCUUCGGGUCGUAAACCGCUUUUAUAAGGGACGAACUUUGACGGUACCUUAUGAAUAAGAGGUUGCUAACUCUGUG